RNAcentral lists this ribosomal RNA (537 nucleotides) under Glaucosoma hebraicum (Westralian jewfish). RNAcentral's name for it is "partial large subunit ribosomal RNA". It matches the Rfam family "Bacterial large subunit ribosomal RNA", at positions 1849 to 2586 of the family's 2925-position model. The record is from RNAcentral. Lineage: Eukaryota; Metazoa; Chordata; Actinopteri; Acropomatiformes; Glaucosomatidae.
GGACCCGCCUGCCCUGUGACUCUAAGUUCAACGGCCGCGGUAUUUUAACCGUGCGAAGGUAGCGUAAUCACUUGUCUCUUAAAUGGGGACCUGUAUGAAUGGCAUAACGAGGGCUUAACUGUCUCCUUUUUCAGGUCAAUGAAAUUGAUCUCCCCGUGCAGAAGCGGGGAUAAACACAUAAGACGAGAAGACCCUAUGGAGCUUUAGACACUAAGAUAGAUCAUGUUAAACACUCCCUGACAAAGGAAAUAAACCAAAUGAUCCCCUUUCCCAAUGUCUUCGGUUGGGGCGACCACGGAGAAACACAGAACCCCCGUGCAGAACGAAAGCACUGCUUUCACAACUAAGAGCUCCCGCUCUAAUAAACAGAAAUUCUGACUACAUGAUCCGGCACCGCCGAUCAACGAACCAAGUUACCCUAGGGAUAACAGCGCAAUCCUCUUCUAGAGUCCAUAUCGACAAGAGGGUUUACGACCUCGAUGUUGGAUCAGGACAUCCUAAUGGUGCAGCCGCUAUUAAGGGUUCGUUUGUUCAACG